UUACGUGACGAAGCGCGCGCCAAAGUAGAGAAUAAAGCCUGAGUUACUACUGAGUCGCCUAACGCCGGUUAACCGGCGUUUUUUA
RNAcentral lists this small RNA (85 nucleotides) under Enterobacter sp. kpr-6. RNAcentral's name for it is "sroD RNA". It matches the Rfam family "sroD RNA". Rfam says of the family: This family consists of a number of bacterial sroD RNA genes of around 90 bases in length. sroD is found in several Enterobacterial species but its function is unknown. The record is from RNAcentral. Lineage: Bacteria; Pseudomonadati; Pseudomonadota; Gammaproteobacteria; Enterobacterales; Enterobacteriaceae.